This 799-nucleotide ribosomal RNA is filed under the name uncultured eukaryote. RNAcentral's name for it is "SSU rRNA". It matches the Rfam family "Eukaryotic small subunit ribosomal RNA", at positions 618 to 1446 of the family's 1831-position model. The record is from RNAcentral.
GUUAAAAAGCUCGUAGUUGGAUUUCGGAGUGGGCCAGUUGGUCCGCCGCAAGGUGUGUUACUGACUGGUUUGCUCUUCUUCGCAAAGACUGCGUGUGCUCUUCAGUGAGUGUGCGUAGGAUUUACGACGUUUACUUUGAAAAAAUUAGAGUGUUCAAAGCAGGCUAUUGCUUGAAUACAUGAGCAUGGAAUAAUGGAAUAGGACUUUGGUCCCAUUUUGUUGGUUUCUAGGGCCGAAGUAAUGAUUAAGAGGGACAAUUGGGGGCAUCCGUAUUUCGUUGUCAGAGGUGAAAUUCUUGGAUUUACGAAAGACGAACAACUGCGAAAGCACUUGCCAAGAGUGUUUUCAUUAAUCAAGAACGAAAGUUAGAGGAUCGAAGACGAUCAGAUACCGUCCUAGUUCUAACCAUAAACGAUGUCGACUAGGGAUCAGCGGGCGUUAUCGUACGACCCCGUUGGCACCUUACGGGAAACCAAAGUUUCUGGAUUCCGGGGGAAGUAUGGUUGCAAAGCUGAAACUUAAAGGAAUUGACGGAAGGGCACCACCAGGAGUGGAGCCUGUGGCUCAAUUUGACUCAACACGGGAAAACUUACCAGGUCCAGACAUAGUAAGGAUUGACAGGUUGAGAGCCCUUUCUUGAUUCUAUGGGUGGUGGUACAUGGCCGUUCUUAGUUGGUGGAGUGAUUUGUCUGGUUAAUUCCGUUAACGAACGAGACCUUAACCGGCUAAAUAGUCAUGCGAUUCUCGAAUCGUAGCUGACUUCUUAGAGGGACUGUUGGUGUUUAACCAAAGUCAGGAA